This 281-nucleotide ribosomal RNA is filed under the name Salmonella enterica. RNAcentral describes it as "partial 16S ribosomal RNA". It matches the Rfam family "Bacterial small subunit ribosomal RNA", at positions 1 to 278 of the family's 1533-position model. Lineage: Bacteria; Pseudomonadati; Pseudomonadota; Gammaproteobacteria; Enterobacterales; Enterobacteriaceae. The record is from RNAcentral.
AAAUUGAAGAGUUUGAUCAUGGCUCAGAUUGAACGCUGGCGGCAGGCCUAACACAUGCAAGUCGAACGGUAACAGGAAGCAGCUUGCUGCUUUGCUGACGAGUGGCGGACGGGUGAGUAAUGUCUGGGAAACUGCCUGAUGGAGGGGGAUAACUACUGGAAACGGUGGCUAAUACCGCAUAACGUCGCAAGACCAAAGAGGGGGACCUUCGGGCCUCUUGCCAUCAGAUGUGCCCAGAUGGGAUUAGCUAGUUGGUGAGGUAACGGCUCACCAAGGCGACG